UACCGCGGUUAAACGAGAGGCCCAAGUUGAUAGACAUCGGCGUAAAGAGUGGUUAUGAAUUAAUUACCAUAAAGUAAAAUACCCCCAGAGCCGUGAUAAGCACCCCGGGAUGAGAACAUCAAUCACGAAAGUAACUUUAGAAGAUCAGACCCCACGAGAGCUAGGGCA
Molecule: ribosomal RNA, 168 nt
Filed under: Cryptopsaras couesii (triplewart seadevil)
Lineage: Eukaryota; Metazoa; Chordata; Actinopteri; Lophiiformes; Ceratiidae
Description: partial 12S rRNA
Source: RNAcentral